UUGGCGGCCUCUCUCCUUAUCAGAGGAACUCGUAUCUUAAUCCGAUAAUCCGCGUUAUUUCUUACUUUCUUUUAUAGUCUUUAUAUCGCUGUCUUUAGAUAAAAGUAUUAUCUUAUAUCUUUAUAAAUUUCUUAUUACGUCAAGUCGAGAUAAAGCCCAUAACAAAGGGAGCCGAGUUACUUAUAUUACUAUUUAAGUUUUUAUCUUUAAAAACAUAAAAAUCUUGGAUUUGAAAGUAAUAAAUUAAUAAUCUUCUUUUAUGAAAUAGAACUUCAGGUGUACAUAUCGCCCGUCACCCUCGUCUAAAGAUGAGGCAAGUCGUAACAUAGUUAAUAUACUGGAAAGUGUAUUAAGGG
Molecule: ribosomal RNA, 356 nt
Filed under: Pterinochilus lugardi
Lineage: Eukaryota; Metazoa; Arthropoda; Arachnida; Araneae; Theraphosidae
Description: partial 12S ribosomal RNA
Source: RNAcentral